GAAAGGAGAGGAAAGAAGGGGUGGGUGGUGGAGAAAUAGCAGGUGCGUGGAGAGGAGGGUAUCGGAGAGCGAGGUGAGCGGCGGACGCGACUGGACACCCGGGGACGAAGACGGAGGGGAAGGAGUAGAAUAAUGAAAGGAGUGGUGCGGCUAGGCGGCCAAACAGAGCGUUUGGGAUUGGGAUCUCAGGCGAAGCGAGGAGGAGGGGGUUGUUCUAGAGAGAGGAUUAGAAACCUACGUGGCCGAGGCUACAGACGGGGUGGUGGGGGGCGGAGGAGGCUGCUACUACCAUUCGGGCGGCUGCUCCUCCCGCAUCUCUAGGCGCUCCAUACCCGCUUGUUGGAGCUCCGCCUCAAGCGGCACUAGGCACUGCAGCAGCUGCUAAUGGGCAUGUAGCGGUACCUGUGGCUCAAGGGCCCGUAGCACACGGCGGGCGAGCCCUCGAAAGCGAGGUUACUGCUCAUGUUGAUGCGGUGGGAGUUCCGGUUGCAGCUGUACGACUCGGAGUAGGUCGAACCAGAGUGGGAGAGGCUGCUCUUGCCGCGUGAGGGCCGGUCCCCGUGCCCCCCCGCGGGGACGCGGACCGUCAAGUUGAAAGCCCCGAAGCUAGGCGCGAGUCUGGGGCGGUUGCGACUGAGGUAGCUGGACGAUGCGUUGUCGCCCUAGCUGAAGCUGGCGAAGUGGUGGCUCCCACGACUGUGUCCGGUGAAGCGGCUCGACGAGUACAGCAGCCCGCAGGACGAGUUGCGACUCGAGGUCACCCAGUGUAAGGUGUCGCCCAUGCUGAAGCCCAUGGACGAGUUCGACGAUUGGCCCGCCUUGGAUGGGCUGUGGUACGGACCUAAGAAACUGGAGUAGUCUUAGAUGAAGGGACACGACAUGCUGUAGUUCGUAGAGUACUUCAUGACGCCGUCGGAGGUACCACCGAACUCGUUCGAACCACUCGAUGAACCACAGGUUGCACACCCCUAGACGGUGGUCCGACCCAGGCUGAGCGACGACUGGAACGUCACGAAGGUUUUCGACUUCCUCCGUAUAAAGUCUCCUAGCUGGCUCUUAAUACGGCCACAUAACAUACCAGAAUAAAGACUACCACCCCUCUUGUCUGGUGGUCGUCGAGACGAGUAGCUUACUCAUUACCUAUCAGUUUAUUCUGUUACAAUACCAACUUUUUUUCCUUUACAAAGACAACUUAUAUACGAGAGACUAGACUUAUAAACGAACACCAACGGUAUCAUAUCGAUAACAAGGGUCAAUUUACUGAGAGCAACGAUAUAGUACCAUCAAGACAACUUACGAGCCAGAAAGGGAAACUCGACAUACCCUGUAGAUAGUUCCAAACCCUGUCGGGAACUACACAUGCUGACUUUUAACUUGACAACACGUAAAACCCCCCUCGGGUCAGUAAGUAUAUCUCCACAGUUGGUAGACCAGAAUCAAAACGACGGUAUAACGGAAAGACACCUUAAGUUACUUGAGAAGUAACAAACACAACUAAAAGUAAGAAGUCUUACUUACUAAAAGUAUAACGUCGAGUUUCAUCAACUAAUUAUAAAAAAAGUCAGAUCUGAUAAUUCAUACAGGUUUGUAUAGUAACGAACGUGUCGGGAUCGUGGAGAAUAGUUGGUAACAUUACCUAUAGGACGUUCUAUUUGUGAUAAACUGACCGAGGGGAAUUAAUGACCCUGAACUGACAUUACAUCUUACAAAUAAAAUCGUCGGAAAAUCCACGUAUCCACGUGUUGUACACAAGAUAGUAUGGUCAAAGAACGAAAUAAAGCGAUUGCAUAGUGUUUAUGGUAAAGUCAUUUACGUCUCGAACUAAGUCGCAAGAUGAAACCAAAACAGGGUAUGACCCUUGAUGAGGUAACUAUAGUUUGGAUGUCAAAAAGAGAAGCGUCCACUAUUCUAUUCUAGCAAACGAGUAAAUGUCACCGGUAACUCCCGAAGAAACCUAACAUCCUUAAUUUGGAUGUCAAAAAGAGAAGUGACCACUAUUCUAUUCUAGCAAACCAGGAAAUGUCACCGUUGACUCCCGAAGAAACCUAACGCCCUAAAAAAAAUUGUAUCCUUAUCCUUUUUUAACCUAACUCUAUCGUACAAGAUACAUAAGAUGUCCCAAUGUUUUGUGUCCUUAAAAUAUUCUACACAGAAAUCUACCACGUUUACCUUUACUUAUCAAAAUCCCAAAGAAACCUAACGUCCGUAAAACUUUGCAUCCUUAUCUUCCUUUUUUUUGAUAAACUUAACUCUACUGUACAGGACACUUAAGGUUGAUCUGAAGUUUUGUGCAACUUUCUACCAUGAAGAUCGAAUCAACGAUCACGGUAAAGAAUACUGACAAUAAUAUACAACAAUCUAAAAUUAGUACAACACAUAGUAGUAACAUUAUUCCUCUCGUUGG
This 2404-nucleotide ribosomal RNA is filed under the name Triticum aestivum (bread wheat). Its description in RNAcentral is "partial small subunit ribosomal RNA". The record is from RNAcentral. Lineage: Eukaryota; Viridiplantae; Streptophyta; Magnoliopsida; Poales; Poaceae.